UGAGACGUAGGGUGCAAGCGUUGUCCGGAUUUACUGGGCGUAAAGAGCGCGUAGGCGGUCUGUUAAGUGUAGAGUGAAAGCUCCGGGCUCAACCCGGAAAUUGCUCUGCAUACUGGCAGACUUGAGGGAUGCAGAGGUUUGUGGAAUUCCUGGUGUAACGGUGAAAUGUGUUGAUAUCAGGAGGAACACCCAUGGCGAAGGCAGCAAACUGGGCAUCAUCUGACGCUGAGGCGCGAAAGCGUGGGUAGCAAACAGGAUUAGAUACCCUGGUAGUCCACGCCCUAAACGAUGGAUACUAGGCGUAAGGGGUAUCGACCCCCCUUGUGCCGCAGCUAACGCAUUAAGUAUCCCGCCUGGGGACUACGGCCGCAAGGUUG
Molecule: ribosomal RNA, 377 nt
Filed under: uncultured bacterium
Lineage: Bacteria
Description: bacterial SSU rRNA
Rfam family: Bacterial small subunit ribosomal RNA
Source: RNAcentral